RNAcentral lists this ribosomal RNA (335 nucleotides) under uncultured soil bacterium. RNAcentral describes it as "bacterial SSU rRNA". It matches the Rfam family "Bacterial small subunit ribosomal RNA", at positions 26 to 365 of the family's 1533-position model. The record is from RNAcentral.
AGAUUGAACGCUGGCGGCAGGCCUAACACAUGCAAGUCGAGCGGUAGAGAGGUGCUUGCAUCUCUUGAGAGCGGCGGACGGGUGAGUAGUGCCUAGGAAUCUGCCUAGUGGUGGGGGAUAACGUUCGGAAACGGACGCUAAUACCGCAUACGUCCUACGGGAGAAAGCGGGGGACCUUCGGGCCUCGCGCCAUUAGAUGAGCCUAGGUCGGAUUAGCUAGUUGGUGAGGUAACUGGCUCACCAAGGCGACGAUCCGUAACUGGUCUGAGAGGAUGAUCAGUCACACUGGAACUGAGACACGGUCCAGACUCCAGGGAGCAGCAGUGGGGAAUAUU